GUGCCAGCAGCCGCGGUAAUACGGAAGGUCCGGGCGUUAUCCGGAUUUAUUGGGUUUAAAGGGAGCGCAGGCCGGAGUCAAGCGUGACGUGAAAUGUAGCCGCUCAACGGCUGAACUGCGUCGCGAACUGGCUUUCUUGAGUGAGUUCGAUGUGGGCGGAAUUCGUGGUGUAGCGGUGAAAUGCUUAGAUAUCACGAAGAACUCCGAUUGCGAAGGCAGCCCACAAGGCCUUUACUGACGCUAAAGCUCGAAGGCGCGGGUAUCGAACAGGAUUAGAUACCCUGGUAGUCCGCACGGUAAACGAUGGAUGCCCGCUGUUUGCGAUAUACUGUGAGCGGCCAAGAGAAAUCGUUAAGCAUCCCACCUGGGGAGUACGCCGGCAACGGUGAAACUCAAAGGAAUUGACGGGGGCCCGCACAAGCGGAGGAACAUGUGGUUUAAUUCGAUGAUACGCGAGGAACCUUACCCGGGCUUGAACUGCAGCGGAAGGAUACAGAGAUGUUGACGCCCUUCGGGGCCGCUGUGGAGGUGCUGCAUGGUUGUCGUCAGCUCGUGCCGUGAGGUGUCGGCUUAAGUGCCAUAACGAGCGCAACCCUUUUCAUUAGUUGCCAUCAGGUCAUGCUGGGCACUCUGAUGAUACUGCCACCGUAAGGUGUGAGGAAGGUGGGGAUGACGUCAAAUCAGCACGGCCCUUACGUCCGGGGCUACACACGUGUUACAAUGGGUGGUACAGAGAGUCGGUCGUCUGCAAAUGCGAUCCAAUCCUUAAAGCCAUCCUCAGUUCGGAUUGGGGUCUGCAACCCGACCCCAUGAAGCUGGAUUCGCUAGUAAUCGCGCAUCAGCCAUGGCGCGGUGAAUACGUUCCCGGGCCUUGUACACACCGCCCGU
This 888-nucleotide ribosomal RNA is filed under the name uncultured rumen bacterium. Its description in RNAcentral is "bacterial SSU rRNA". It matches the Rfam family "Bacterial small subunit ribosomal RNA", at positions 505 to 1397 of the family's 1533-position model. The record is from RNAcentral.